CCCUUCGCUAAUACAUGCAAGUCGUACGCUAGCCGCUGAAUUGAUCCUUCGGGUGAAGUGAGGCAAUGACUAGAGUGGCGAACUGGUGAGUAACACGUAAGAAACCUGCCCUUUAGUGGGGGAUAACAUUUGGAAACAGAUGCUAAUACCGCGUAACAACAAAUCACACAUGUGAUCUGUUUGAAAGGUCCUUUUGGAUCGCUAGAGGAUGGUCUUGCGGCGUAUUAGCUUGUUGGUAGGGUAGAAGCCUACCAAGGCAAUGAUGCGUAGCCGAGUUGAGAGACUGGCCGGCCACAUUGGGACUGAGACACUGCCCAAACUCCUACGGGAGGCUGCAGUAGGGAAUUUUCCGCAAUGCACGAAAGUGUGACGGAGCGACGCCGCGUGUGUGAUGAAGGCUUUCGGGUCGUAAAGCACUGUUGUAAGGGAAGAAUAACUGAAUUCAGAGAAAGUUUUCAGCUUGACGGUACCUUACCAGAAAGGGAUGGCUAAAUACGUGCCAGCAGCCGCGGUAAUACGUAUGUCCCGAGCGUUAUCCGGAUUUAUUGGGCGUAAAGCGAGCGCAGACGGUUUAUUAAGUCUGAUGUGAAAUCCCGAGGCCCAACCUCGGAACUGCAUUGGAACUGAAGGAUCA
This 634-nucleotide ribosomal RNA is filed under the name Oenococcus oeni. RNAcentral's name for it is "bacterial SSU rRNA". It matches the Rfam family "Bacterial small subunit ribosomal RNA", at positions 43 to 643 of the family's 1533-position model. Lineage: Bacteria; Bacillati; Bacillota; Bacilli; Lactobacillales; Lactobacillaceae. The record is from RNAcentral.